UUCUUUGUUUUUUGUAUUGUCUCCGUGUUAUCUCCAUCCUUCAGCACUCACUGGCGACAAGUCCUCAUUGUGUGACAUGAGAGCCUGAGCCAACAUUGCGCAAAUCCCAGCAACGCCCCUCGCUGUUCAGCUGAAAUCAAUCUGGAGGAAGCAAAAGUCCCUAAUACCAGGGGAUUGGGUGAUGGGGCGUGUGCGGCCUCGGUAUAUAAGUGUACACAGGGCGGGAGACAGCAUGGGACUGCAGCUGAAGAUGGGGAAAUGGCUGCUGUAUUCUGUGCUCUUCAGCCUCCUGACUGCUGCCUACACUGCCCCCCUCCUGCCGGACCCCCAGAUCAUCACUCCACCUCCAGCAAUGGUCACAAGAGAAGAAGCUUCUAACUUGGAAAAAACAGCUGAAGAUCUACUAUUCCCGAAAAGUAAGAUUAAAGACCAUGACACCGUCUUGUGUCUACCUUGUCUGUUCACUCUGCUCCCCAAAUAGUGAGCAGCCAAUGCUACUCUGCACAAUGUUAAAGCUCCAUCAAGCCAUCCCAUAUCAAGAAGCUCCAACAAAACAACCAAUAUCCAUGAAGCUCCACCAAAGUAUCCAGUAUCAAGAAACUCCACCAAACCAUGCAAUAUCCAAGAAGCUCCACCAAACAAUCCAAUAUCUAUGAAGCAUCACCAAACCUUGAAAUAUUCAAGAAGCUCCACCAAACCAUCCAAUAUUCAAGAAACCCCUCUAAACCAUCCAGUAUCCAAGAUUCUCCACCAGAGCAUUCAAACUCCAAAAUGCUCUACCAAAGCAUUCAAUAUCCAUAAAGUUCAAUUUAAACAAUCCAAUAUCUAUGAAUCUCCACCAAAUAAUCCAAUAUCCAAGAAGCUCCAGCAAACCAUCCAAUAUUCAAGAAGCUCCACCAAACCAUCCAAUAUUCAAGUAGCUCCACCAAAUAAUCCAAUAUCCAAGAAGCUCCACAAAACCAUCCAAUAUCCAAGAAGCUCUGCCAAACCAUCCAAUAUUCAAGUAGCUCUGCCAAACCAUUCAAUAUCCAGGAAGAUUUCAUCUAAUGUUGACAGAUCUACCCUGAUGGACAAUAAAUGAAAUAAUUAACCAUCA
Long non-coding RNA from Bufo gargarizans (Asiatic toad), 1096 nucleotides. RefSeq lists it as uncharacterized. The record is from RefSeq and is a predicted model, not a curated record. The transcript is spliced from 2 exons. Lineage: Eukaryota; Metazoa; Chordata; Amphibia; Anura; Bufonidae.